AGUGAACGCUGGCGGUAGGCCUAACACAUGCAAGUCGAACGGCAGCACAGUAAGAGCUUGCUCUUACGGGUGGCGAGUGGCGGACGGGUGAGGAAUACAUCGGAAUCUACUUUUUCGUGGGGGAUAACGUAGGGAAACUUACGCUAAUACCGCAUACGACCUACGGGUGAAAUCAGGGGAUCUUCGGACCUUGCGCGAUUGAAUGAGCCGAUGUCGGAUUAGCUAGUUGGCUGGGUAAAGGCCCACCAAGGCGACGAUCCGUAGCUGGUAUGAGAGGAUGAUCAGCCACACUGGAACUGAGACACGGUACAGACUACGACGGGAGGCAGCAGUGGGGAAUAUUGGACAAUGGGGGAAAGCCUGAUCCAGCAAUACCGCGUGGGUGAAGAAGGCCUUCGGGUUGUAAAGCCCUUUUGUUGGGAAAGAAAAGCAGCAGGUUAAUACCCCGCUGUUCUGACGGUACCCAAAGAAUAAGCACCGGCUAACUUCGUG
This 492-nucleotide ribosomal RNA is filed under the name uncultured bacterium. RNAcentral describes it as "partial 16S ribosomal RNA". It matches the Rfam family "Bacterial small subunit ribosomal RNA", at positions 29 to 507 of the family's 1533-position model. The record is from RNAcentral.